AAGUCAUAUUUAAGUAUUAGUUUUUAUCGAUCGCACAACCCACUCGGUUUCAAAAGCAGCCUCACCCACACUCACUCAGCCUAUUCAAACUCUCCUUCCUCAGAUUCAUUCUCACCCGUCUCUCUCCAACCCCCUUUGUCUCACUACCUUCAUCAGAUCAAAUCGUGGAGGCUCCUGAGUUCCAUCGUCGCCAGAAAACCUUGGUAGGAACCCUCCACACACGAUCUCCACAAAAAAGGAUCUCGGAGCGGUGGAGGGUUGGGAUCGGCAGAGAGUUUGGAAUCGGAAUUGGAGGAGGUAUUCGCAGUUUUGAUAAAUGCAGGGUCAUGGAGGGGCAGUUUCUAGGGUUGGAUUAGGAGGCAUUCGAACUCGUCUUCAUCCCAAUACUCGAAGCUGGUGAAGGAAGGUUUGGGAAGAUGGAUGCAUGGUGAGUCCGAAUCGGGAAUCGGGAAUCGGGUUGGGAUCCGGGUCUGGUAGGGAUGGAUCAUGGAAGGUGAGUCGGGUUGGGAUGCGGAGGUGAGGAAAGGGCGGGUGCGAGUCGGAAGAGGGAGUGAGGAGUAGUCGUCAUUGUCCUCAUUUAUUUCGUCGCCGUAACCUUCGAAUUGGGAGUCGGCGAUAUGGAGGGAGGAGGGAGAGAAAGAGCAGUGGGAGAAGAGGAAGAGGAGGUCCCUGUCAUUUUUAAAGUACGAUUGUAUACUUGUAACAUGUGUUGGUUGUUCAGGUGCUAUGGAUACAAGUUAGCAGGUCCCUGUCAUUGCUGUUAAUGGUUAAGCCUCCAGUUUUCCUUGUGGUUGUUGGAAUGGGAAGGUAUGAAAUUCGCCCUAUUUCGUUGUGUUUUUCUGUUAUCACGAGAUUAAUGCUUUAAUACCAUAGUAGAAAUGGGAAUUUAUGCUCCUUUAGUUUAUUUCAAUUAAGUCACUUUUAGAUUAACAAUUAGCAUGCUUCCAGUUCUAGGACUUUAUAUUUACUUGUUGGGGAGUUGAGUUUUUUUAUACAGUUUGUAAGUGACCCCACUUCACAUACUCUGCAAGUAGCUAAACUUGGUAAUGAAUUUUUAUAGGCAAGUCAGAUGAUUUCUCAAACAUGAACUCAAAGACAGAUAGUAGAAUUGAUAUAAAAGUAAUGAUGUAUUUUAUAUGUUCUUAGGGUGCACUCCUUGUCCAAUGAUGUGUAAUUUUUGUUAAAAAGGUCGUACCCAGUGCACAAGGCUCCCGCUUGAUGCAGGGUCUGGGAGAGGUGAAUGUCGGCUAGCCUUACCCCCAUUUAUGUAAUUUUUGUUACAUAAACAAAAGGUUUGUCUCUUCGCAAAAAUAAUAAUCCAAAAGUUAUUAUGUGAUCUUUUGAUUGCCUUCGUAUCCAAUAUCUUAAAUCCCAUGGUGUAUUCAAACUGAGUAGAUUUGAUGGACAUUCUUCGUCUUAAGAAGAGCCAGACUUAUAUUAUGGAUUCUGCACAUCAGCUUGUUAGCCUUUAAUGCUCUUGCAAUAAAGGGCGUUUCAGUUCUCUGGUGAUAGUUGAUCAGUGUUUUCCUAGAAAGAAAAUGCCAAUGCAGUUCUCCUUGUUGCAAGCCAGGUGAGACUUAUGUACAUCUAUCCUCUCAAAACCUUGCACAUUUCUUGUUCUUUUUAAAGUUUACUUUCUCUGACCACUGUGAAAUAUGUUUGCCCUCCAACUGUUGAACUUCCCAUCCUUGGUGAAAAUGUGACUUGGUCUGCGAUCUCUCUUGUAGGCCAAAAUGACAUUAUUUAUAUUUAGGAUAAUUAUCAACUUUUGUCGUUGUAAGUAGCAAUUUACUACAAAGAAGUAUCAACUUUUGUCUUACUUAUCCACUUUUGUCGUUGUAAGUAGCAAGGUACGGUGAUGUUCUUAUAGUGGAAAAACUUAUAUAUUUCAAUUGCAUACUGUUGGAGGUUCUAUUCUUAUGUAA
Molecule: non-coding RNA, 1925 nt
Organism: Malus domestica (apple)
Lineage: Eukaryota; Viridiplantae; Streptophyta; Magnoliopsida; Rosales; Rosaceae
Source: RefSeq, a predicted model, not a curated record